UCCUGUACUUGGUGUUACUGCGAAGGGGGGACGGAGAAGGCUAUGUUGGCCGGGCGACGGUUGUCCCGGUUUAAGCGUGUAGGCUGGUUUUCCAGGCAAAUCCGGAAAAUCAAGGCUGAGGCGUGAUGACGAGGCACUACGGUGCUGAAGCAACAAAUGCCCUGCUUCCAGGAAAAGCCUCUAAGCAUCAGGUAACAUCAAAUCGUACCCCAAACCGACACAGGUGGUCAGGUAGAGAAUACCAAGGCGCUUGAGAGAACUCGGGUGAAGGAACUAGGCAAAAUGGUGCCGUAACUUCGGGAGAAGGCACGCUGAUAUGUAGGUGAGGUCCCUCGCGGAUGGAGCUGAAAUCAGUCGAAGAUACCAGCUGGCUGCAACUGUUUAUUAAAAACACAGCACUGUGCAAACACGAAAGUGGACGUAUACGGUGUGACGCCUGCCCGGUGCCGGAAGGUUAAUUGAUGGGGUUAGCGCAAGCGAAGCUCUUGAUCGAAGCCCCGGUAAACGGCGGCCGUAACGAUAACGGUCCUAAGGUAGCGAAAUUCCUUGUCGGGUAAGUUCCGACCUGCACGAAUGGCGUAAUGAUGGCCAGGCUGUCUCCACCCGAGACUCAGUGAAAUUGAACUCGCUGUGAAGAUGCAGUGUACCCGCGGCAAGACGGAAAGACCCCGUGAACCUUUACUAUAGCUUGACACUGAACAUUGAGCCUUGAUGUGUAGGAUAGGUGGGAGGCUUUGAAGUGUGGACGCCAGUCUGCAUGGAGCCGACCUUGAAAUACCACCCUUUAAUGUUUGAUGUUCUAACGUUGACCCGUAAUCCGGGUUGCGGACAGUGUCUGGUGGGUAGUUUGACUGGGGCGGUCUCCUCCUAAAGAGUAACGGAGGAGCACGAAGGUUGGCUAAUCCUGGUCGGACAUCAGGAGGUUAGUGCAAUGGCAUAAGCCAGCUUGACUGCGAGCGUGACGGCGCGAGCAGGUGCGAAAGCAGGUCAUAGUGAUCCGGUGGUUCUGAAUGGAAGGGCCAUCGCUCAACGGAUAAAAGGUACUCCGGGGAUAACAGGCUGAUACCGCCCAAGAGUUCAUAUCGACGGCGGUGUUUGGCACCUCGAUGUCGGCUCAUCACAUCCUGGGGCUGAAGUAGGUCCCAAGGGUAUGGCUGUUCGCCAUUUAAAGUGGUACGCGAGCUGGGUUUAGAACGUCGUGAGACAGUUCGGUCCCUAUCUGCCGUGGGCGCUGGAGAACUGAGGGGGGCUGCUCCUAGUACGAGAGGACCGGAGUGGACGCAUCACUGGUGUUCGGGUUGUCAUGCCAAUGGCACUGCCCGGUAGCUAAAUGCGGAAGAGAUAAGUGCUGAAAGCAUCUAAGCACGAAACUUGCCCCGAGAUGAGUUCUCCCUGACCCUUUAAGGGUCCUGAAGGAACGUUGAAGACGACGACGUUGAUAGGCCGGGUGUGUAAGC
Molecule: ribosomal RNA, 1457 nt
Filed under: metagenome
Description: bacterial LSU rRNA
Rfam family: Bacterial large subunit ribosomal RNA
Source: RNAcentral